This 219-nucleotide long non-coding RNA is filed under the name Elaeis guineensis (African oil palm). Its description in RNAcentral is "long non-coding RNA (EGUI_LNC004913)". The record is from RNAcentral. Lineage: Eukaryota; Viridiplantae; Streptophyta; Magnoliopsida; Arecales; Arecaceae.
AGAAUUGUGUUAUUUUGAAUCCUGGACUCCUGUUACUAUGUAAUAUUAGUACUUUAACAUUGUUUAUGGUGAUGAUUGCAUUCAUUAUGGCUUGGUUUCCAUGAUGUCGUCACCAGGGUAAUAGGGGUAUAUGUCAUUCAGCCAUUUAUCCAAAUCUGUUUGAAACAUUUGGAUGCUGUUAACUUGUGUUAUUUUCAAUCCUGGACUCCUGUUACCAUG